CCUACGGGAGGCAGCAGUGGGGGAUAUUGGACAAUGGGGGGAACCCUGAUCCAGCGACGCCGCGUGAGUGAAGAAGUAUUUCGGUAUGUAAAGCUCUGUCAGCAGGGAAGAACGAAAUGACGGUACCUGACCAAGAAGCCCCGGCUAACUACGUGCCAGCAGCCGCGGUGAUACGUAGGGGGCAAGCGUUAUCCGGAAUUACUGGGUGUAAAGGGAGCGUAGACGGUUAAGUAAGUCUGGAGUGAAAGGCCGGGGCCCAACCCCGGGACUGCUCUGGAAACUAUUGAACUUGAGUGCAGGGGAGGUAAGCGGAAUUCCUAGUGUAGCGGUGAAAUGCGUAGAUAUUAGGAGGAACACCAGUGGCGAAGGCGGCUUACUGGACUGUAACUGACGUUGAGGCUCGAAAGCGUGGGGAGCAAACAGGAUUAGAUACCCUAGUAGUC
Molecule: ribosomal RNA, 443 nt
Filed under: uncultured bacterium
Lineage: Bacteria
Description: partial 16S ribosomal RNA
Rfam family: Bacterial small subunit ribosomal RNA
Source: RNAcentral